CAGCAGCCGCGGUAAUACGUAGGUGGCAAGCGUUGUCCGGAAUUAUUGGGCGUAAAGGGCUCGCAGGCGGUUUCUUAAGUCUGAUGUGAAAGCCCCCGGCUCAACCGGGGAGGGUCAUUGGAAACUGGGAAACUUGAGUGCAGAAGAGGAGAGUGGAAUUCCACGUGUAGCGGUGAAAUGCGUAGAGAUGUGGAGGAACACCAGUGGCGAAGGCGACUCUCUGGUCUGUAACUGACGCUGAGGAGCGAAAGCGUGGGGAGCAAACAGGAUUAGAUACCCCGGUAGUCCCAGUCUCUUAUAA
RNAcentral lists this ribosomal RNA (301 nucleotides) under uncultured bacterium. Its description in RNAcentral is "partial 16S ribosomal RNA". It matches the Rfam family "Bacterial small subunit ribosomal RNA", at positions 509 to 809 of the family's 1533-position model. The record is from RNAcentral.